This is a long non-coding RNA of Suricata suricatta (meerkat), 533 nucleotides long. RefSeq lists it as uncharacterized. Lineage: Eukaryota; Metazoa; Chordata; Mammalia; Carnivora; Herpestidae. The transcript is spliced from 5 exons. The record is from RefSeq and is a predicted model, not a curated record.
AAGAUUCCAUUGAGCCAAUAGAUAACAGUGAUUCCAUUAGUGAAGUGAAAGUCAACCUACAAAAUAACUCUCCUCUCUCUCAUCUCCCUCACUCCAGCCACAAAGAUUUUCAAAGCUCUCGAUCAUCUACUCCAAAGCUAAACUUUUUGGAUUUAAUAAAGAAAUAGAAUUUGCAAGUGAGGGAGUACAAAGAAGAUGAAGCUGGCAUUUAUUGUAAUAUAAAAGUAAAUCUAGAGCCAGCUCUACACAUGGGCAAAUAAUAUUUGAGGCCUCAUCUACUGGAUUUGGGAAAGUUCCUACCAUUCCUUUUCAUUAGAUAAGAAAAGCAGACCUUUUGCUUCUCAGACCCUCUCUCUACUUCAAAGCCGUGUCUACCACCAAUAAUGGCAGUUGCAUAACCCACACAUUUUCAAGGUAUUCAGAGGAGUCAUCUUUUGUUUCAGAAAGCAAGGCCUCCUGAAGAUAGCAAGCCAGAAAGAGAAGUCUCACCUGAAGUUGAACUUUGAUCUUUGACUUUUCAGCUUCUAUAACUG